CCUACGGGAGGCAGCAGUAGGGAAUCUUCCACAAUGGGCGAAAGCCUGAUGGAGCAACGCCGCGUGGGUGAAGAAGGUCUUCGGAUCGUAAAACCCUGUUGUUAGAGAAGAAAGUGCGUGAGAGUAACUGUUCACGUUUCGACGGUAUCUAACCAGAAAGCCACGGCUAACUACGUGCCCGCAGCCGCGGUAAUACGUAGGUGGCAAGCGUUAUCCGGAUUGAUUGGGCGUAAAGGGAACGGGAGGAGUCUUUUAAGUCUGAUGUGAAAGCCUUCGGCUUAACCGUAGUAGUGCAUUGGAAACUGGGAGACUUGGGGGCAGAAGGGGGGAGUGGAACUCCAUGUGUAGCGGUGAAAUGCGUAGAUAUAUGGAAGAACACCAGUGGCGAAAGCGGCUCUCUGGUCUGUAACUGACGCUGAGGUUCGAAAGCGUGGGUAGCAAACAGGAUUAGAUACCCCGGGUAGUC
This 466-nucleotide ribosomal RNA is filed under the name uncultured bacterium. RNAcentral describes it as "partial 16S ribosomal RNA". It matches the Rfam family "Bacterial small subunit ribosomal RNA", at positions 338 to 795 of the family's 1533-position model. The record is from RNAcentral.